RNAcentral lists this transfer RNA (76 nucleotides) under Sphingomonadales bacterium. Its description in RNAcentral is "tRNA-Lys". It matches the Rfam family "tRNA". Rfam says of the family: Transfer RNA (tRNA) molecules are approximately 80 nucleotides in length. Their secondary structure includes four short double-helical elements and three loops (D, anti-codon, and T loops). RNAcentral also lists the same sequence under 8 other names. The record is from RNAcentral. Lineage: Bacteria; Pseudomonadati; Pseudomonadota; Alphaproteobacteria; Sphingomonadales.
GGACGCUUAGCUCAGUUGGUAGAGCAGCUGACUCUUAAUCAGCGGGUCGUAGGUUCGAACCCUACAGCGUCCACCA